Molecule: microRNA, 21 nt
Filed under: Arabidopsis thaliana (thale cress)
Lineage: Eukaryota; Viridiplantae; Streptophyta; Magnoliopsida; Brassicales; Brassicaceae
Description: ath-miR5665
Source: miRBase by way of RNAcentral
UUGGUGGACAAGAUCUGGGAU